AUUUUUUUUGUUCAAUGUCAGACAAUAUACGAGUGAUGCAAUGCCUAAAGGGGUAAGGUAUUUUAUAAAGCUUUAUCAAAGUAAUGUAACUAUAUUUUCAUCAAUCAACGUAUUUUUUAAAACAACUUUAUAGACGUUCCGUUAUUUGUCAAUCUUGAAUUAAGAUGCUAGCAUUAUUUGGUAUUGCUACCGCUAGUAUAAUUCAUUGUUAUUUGAAGGUUUUGCUACUUUGAGUAAUGCAGUGUAUGCCAACAAUAGUAGAUUUAUUUGUAUGAUCUUUUGCAGAAAAUAGAAGUAAAUUAGAGCAAAAGACAUUUAUUAUCUUUUCGUUGAUAUUCUUUAUGUCUUAAAUUGUUAAUUCUUGAUUAGCCAUAAUGAGUAAAGGAAAUACAACUUAACAUGGCUAAUACUGAGACUUAGUAUUUAAGAAGCACAAUCAAACAGUGAUGAAUGUGAUUUAACCGACAUAAUUCUUGUAAAUUUUAUUCGAUAUUUGAUUGAAUCCCUUACGUUCAUACUAUCAAGAAAUAAUCUUUUGUCUAUUUAGAAUACUAACGAUUUUUCCCUUACGGCAAAACCCCUGGAAUGCAAAUGUGAAAAGCUUUGGAUUUUCUAUGAUAAAACGAUUAAAGAAUUAUAGUUAGGUUCCGUUACCGUUUCUAUUCCUUUGCUCAAUCCUUAAAUAUUUUAGGAAAUUAAAAUUUUUCAGCCAAUCUUCUUUUUUUUUCUAACUAAUGCGAAACUACAAAGUCGUUAGUAUCUUUUGCAAAAUUAUUGUUUUUUAUAAUAAAAUUAAGACACUCUUCCAAAAGGUAUUGGAAUAUAAAUUGGAGAUAGGGUAGACAUUUGUUAAUAAUUAUACAAUUUAGUUGUCGCUUAGAACCAGGAAAAAACCUUCAGCUUUCACUCGACUAAGUUGAUGAGGAACACUUAAAAAUAAAAUCAGUGAUACUUUUACUUGGGUAUUUAUGAGUAACUAUAUAAGU
Non-coding RNA from Schizosaccharomyces pombe (fission yeast), 986 nucleotides. The record is from the annotation of a GenBank genome assembly. NCBI's taxonomy places the organism in Eukaryota, Fungi, Ascomycota, Schizosaccharomycetes, Schizosaccharomycetales, Schizosaccharomycetaceae.